RNAcentral lists this ribosomal RNA (381 nucleotides) under uncultured eukaryote. Its description in RNAcentral is "partial 18S ribosomal RNA". It matches the Rfam family "Eukaryotic small subunit ribosomal RNA", at positions 592 to 976 of the family's 1831-position model. The record is from RNAcentral.
CAAUAGCGUAUAUUAAAGUUGUUGCGGUAAAAAAGCUCGUAGUUGGAUUUCUACCGAAGAUAGCCGGUCGGGUCUUCGACCUUGUAUCUGGUUUUGUCUUUGGUAUCCUCAUAGGGAACGUUUCUGCGCUUUAUUGCGUGGUGCGGUAUCUAUGACUUUUACUUUGAGGAAAUUAGAGUGUUCACGGCAGGCAAACGCCUUGAAUAUAUUAGCAUGGAAUAAUAACAUAGGAUCUUCGUCCUAUUUUGCUGGUUUCUAGGGCUAAGAUAAUGAUUAAUAGGGAUAAUUGGGGGCAUCUGUAUCAACGCGUCAGAGGUGGAAUUCUUGGAUUGCGUUGCGACAAACUACUGCGAAAGCAUUUGCCAAGGAUGUUUUCAUUGA